GGGUCCCCGAGGGCCGUGAGAGGGGCCUGGUGGAGAAGAUGGUGGUGGGGGGUGUUGCUGAGGGAGGAGGGGUUGAAGGGGAAUGUGGAAACUGAGGAAAAGCGUGGGGAAGCUUCGCUGGGCGCUGUGGGGCGGAGUGGGGAGAAGGAGGACUUGGGGACGUGUAAGGUUGGGCCUGAACUCUGGUGGAGAGAUGAGGAAUGAGGACAAGGGAGAGGCCUGGGGGCAGGUGGGAGCUUGUUGGGGGCAGGUGUGGCAGAGGAGGGUGGUUUGGGGGCAGGCCAGUUGGGGGUGAGGAGAUCUGGCUGAGUGGAGCUGCCUUUCUGGCCGGGAGCAGCUCAGCUACAGGCGAUAACCCCAGGAGGUGGUAGGUGUCUCCUUGUGCUAACUCUUGUGCAACUGGCCUAACCAAAUGGGUGCAUUUCAGACUGUCUGCCCUUGGCCAAACUGUAUCCGGUUUAUGGCUAGGAGAGGGAAAACAAAAAACAAAACCACCCAAAAAACUAAUGGACUGAGCAUAUGCCCCCCAGGGCUCUGGUCUUGGAUCUUGGUGGUGGGUUUUGAACUUGAUUACAGCUGGAGGAAUUCUAAACAGUCCACCUCUCCUUGCCAUGGUGUUCAACCUCAUUGUGCUCCUGUCUGAACAGAGGAAAUCGCUGAGGUAUUUCUUUCCAUAAGAAGGCUCUGCAUCCAGCAGGCAUAGAGGGUGAUGCUGGAUACUGUUGAUCUGAACUUCACACUUCCAUGU
This is a long non-coding RNA of Calypte anna (Anna's hummingbird), 748 nucleotides long. RefSeq lists it as uncharacterized. Lineage: Eukaryota; Metazoa; Chordata; Aves; Apodiformes; Trochilidae. The record is from RefSeq and is a predicted model, not a curated record. The transcript is spliced from 3 exons.